This is a long non-coding RNA of Apis laboriosa (Himalayan honeybee), 855 nucleotides long. RefSeq lists it as uncharacterized. NCBI's taxonomy places the organism in Eukaryota, Metazoa, Arthropoda, Insecta, Hymenoptera, Apidae. The record is from RefSeq and is a predicted model, not a curated record. The transcript has 4 exons.
CCGCAAUCUUGUAUCUGGAGCGGAGGUUAAUUGACAACGGAAAAUAGUAUAUCUUAUUUUAAACCGUAAUAAUAAUCCACCAAGGAAUAACGGGGAUUUGCACUCUGACACAAUCGCGUGCUCGCGUGUAAUCGAGUCUAUCGAAUUACGAAUUCGCGUCGGAGCAAGCAUCUGCAUUUCCAGAUUACACCUACCGAUGUAAUGCAGUUUAAUUUGCCCUCCCCCCUCCAGAGAUUCAUUGAUCUAAUUCGAGCAGCUAGCACUUGACGAUUCUUGACGACAAAGUCAUCGAUGAAACCAUGUUUCGAGAGGAUGAAAUUUAAUUCAUUCGAAAGAUAUCGAAGAGACUAUAUCAAGAAAGGGGAUUUAAGAUUAUGCGAGAAGAGUUUUCAAGCGUCAAAAGUUUAUCCUUCGCGUUUGAAUCUUUAUGAAAUCGGUUUUUCUUGAAAUGGUGUUAACAAGUGGAAGAAGCAAUCAAGUGUUCUUUGCUGGAUCGAGCUACCUAGACUGACAGGAGUUAAUAAUUCUGGUAGCUUUUGAGUCGGUUCAUCGCGCCGCGCACGAGCUACCAUCCCACCAAGGUGUCGGAUACGUAUAUGCAUAAUACCAUGAACUCGAGAAUUUGAAGGCUCGAGUAAUAUAACGUUUCAGGAAAUCCGUGAUUCAAUAGCUGAAAAAAAGGUUUCGUGCGUCAGACUGACGUCCAAAGUUUUCUUAACUAAAAUCUUAACUAUUUAGCAUCCAGUUAAAGUUCUGAUAUUGAUCGAUGAAAAUAUCAAAAGAUUGAAAAGAUUUAUUAUUAUUUUAUAUGAUAUAAAAAUACAAAAUGUAUUUAUAUAUGAUAUAAAGAUAGAA